RNAcentral lists this ribosomal RNA (581 nucleotides) under uncultured bacterium. RNAcentral describes it as "partial 16S ribosomal RNA". It matches the Rfam family "Bacterial small subunit ribosomal RNA", at positions 355 to 932 of the family's 1533-position model. The record is from RNAcentral.
UGGGGAAUUUUGGACAAUGGGCGAAAGCCUGAUCCAGCAAUGCCGCGUGUGUGAAGAAGGCCUUCGGGUUGUAAAGCACUUUUGUCCGGAAAGAAAUCCUUGGCUCUAAUACAGUCGGGGGAUGACGGUACCGGAAGAAUAAGCACCGGCUAACUACGUGCCAGCAGCCGCGGUAAUACGUAGGGUGCAAGCGUUAAUCGGAAUUACUGGGCGUAAAGCGUGCGCAGGCGGUUUGCUAAGACCGAUGUGAAAUCCCCGGGCUCAACCUGGGAACUGCAUUGGUGACUGGCAGGCUAGAGUAUGGCAGAGGGGGGUAGAAUUCCACGUGUAGCAGUGAAAUGCGUAGAGAUGUGGAGGAAUACCGAUGGUGAAGGCAGCCCCCUGGGCCAAUACUGACGCUCAUGCACGAAAAACGUGGGGAGCAAAACAGGAUUAGAUACCCUGGUAGUCCACGCCCUAAAACGAUGUCAACUAGUUGUUGGGGAUUCAUUUCCUUAGUAACGUAGCUAACGCGUGAAGUUGACCGCCUGGGGAGUACGUCGCAAGAUUAAAACUCAAAUGAAUUGACGGGGUCAUAGCUG